Sitophilus oryzae (rice weevil) is the source of this 974-nucleotide long non-coding RNA. RefSeq lists it as uncharacterized. The transcript has 3 exons. Lineage: Eukaryota; Metazoa; Arthropoda; Insecta; Coleoptera; Curculionidae. The record is from RefSeq and is a predicted model, not a curated record.
AACGUGAACGAGAAUUCAACGUGAACGUGGAGCGUAAAAAAUAUUCUCCAUGUUUACAAGCUUAUGUUGAUAUCUAUUAUUCAUGAUUUAGUGUAAUAAGGAUCACUUAUGAAGAUAUGCUAGUUUCAACAUUUUGUAAUAGAUACAAAGCGUCUCAUUGGCGUCUAACCUCAAGGGCGAAUCCGCUAAGAAAGGUGCAAAUAAUGAAUAUGUACUGAAAUAGUGUACUUAUUUAUUAACAUAUUAAAAUUAGAAUUACAAGAGAUGUUCAAAAUGCCCUCCCCCACAUUCCAAGCAAUAUGCCAAGACGGUUUUUAAAUUCCUCUACAGCAUUUCUGAGGAAUUGACGAUUUAUUGAAUUACAUGCUAUAGCCCCAAAGAAAAAAGUCAUUUGGUGACAGAUUUGGUGAUCGUGCUGGCCAUGCUAGAUGGCCAUUACGUCCAAUCCAUCGUUCAGGAAAGUUUGGAUUCAGAAAAUUCCUUAUCAAAUUGGUAGAAUGGGCUGGUGUUCCAUCCAUUUGAAACCAAGGAGAAUUUAAAUUCAAAUUUUGAAUUUGUGGUAAAAUAUUUUUCAGUAUAUCGAGAAACUUUAUAGACGUUAAAUUGCCGUCAAUAAAAUAUGGACCAAUGAGGAAUUGUCCAACUAUCCCUAUCCAUACGUUAAUUUUGUUAUUAUACUGACUGUAUGUUAAAUUUUUUCGGUGGUUAUUUGUUCGUGACCAAUAUCUUAAAUAUACGUAGAUAUACCUAUUUUAGAAACAAAGAAUGUUUAUAAACUUGAUUUUAUGAUACUAACCGAAACUUUUGGGAGUUGACUGAUCUAUGUAAUGUAAAAGUAGCCUCAUCUGUGAAUAUUAUGUUGUGCAAGAGGUCAUUGUUAUUAUUAAUUAAAUUAAAUAAAUUUUCACAAAAUACAGUGCGUCUUUCUUUGUCUUCUUCAAAUAAAACUUGGUGAUUUCCAUAUCUAUACGAUU